AGCGUACACGGUGGAUGCCCUGGCAGUCAGAGGCGAUGAAGGACGUGCUAAUCUGCGAUAAGCGUCGGUGAGGUGAUAUGAACCGUUAUAACCGGCGAUUUCCGAAUGGGGAAACCCAGUGUGUUUCGACACACUAUCAUUAACUGAAUCCAUAGGUUAAUGAGGCGAACCGGGGGAACUGAAACAUCUAAGUACCCCGAGGAAAAGAAAUCAACCGAGAUUCCCCCAGUAGCGGCGAGCGAACGGGGAGGAGCCCAGAGCCUGAAUCAGUGUGUGUGUUAGUGGAAGCGUCUGGAAAGGCGCGCGAUACAGGGUGACAGCCCCGUACACAAAAAUGCACAUGCUGUGAGCUCGAUGAGUAGGGCGGGACACGUGGUAUCCUGUCUGAAUAUGGGGGGACCAUCCUCCAAGGCUAAAUACUCCUGACUGACCGAUAGUGAACCAGUACCGUGAGGGAAAGGCGAAAAGAACCCCGGCGAGGGGAGUGAAAAAGAACCUGAAACCGUGUACGUACAAGCAGUGGGAGCCUCUUUUAUGGGGUGACUGCGUACCUUUUGUAUAAUGGGUCAGCGACUUAUAUUCUGUAGCAAGGUUAACCGAAUAGGGGAGCCGAAGGGAAACCGAGUCUUAACUGGGCGUUAAGUUGCAGGGUAUAGACCCGAAACCCGGUGAUCUAGCCAUGGGCAGGUUGAAGGUUGGGUAACACUAACUGGAGGACCGAACCGACUAAUGUUGAAAAAUUAGCGGAUGACUUGUGGCUGGGGGUGAAAGGCCAAUCAAACCGGGAGAUAGCUGGUUCUCCCCGAAAGCUAUUUAGGUAGCGCCUCGUGAAUUCAUCUCCGGGGGUAGAGCACUGUUUCGGCAAGGGGGUCAUCCCGACUUACCAACCCGAUGCAAACUGCGAAUACCGGAGAAUGUUAUCACGGGAGACACACGGCGGGUGCUAACGUCCGUCGUGAAGAGGGAAACAACCCAGACCGCCAGCUAAGGUCCCAAAGUCAUGGUUAAGUGGGAAACGAUGUGGGAAGGCCCAGACAGCCAGGAUGUUGGCUUAGAAGCAGCCAUCAUUUAAAGAAAGCGUAAUAGCUCACUGGUCGAGUCGGCCUGCGCGGAAGAUGUAACGGGGCUAAACCAUGCACCGAAGCUGCGGCAGCGACGCUUAUGCGUUGUUGGGUAGGGGAGCGUUCUGUAAGCCUGUGAAGGUGUGCUGUGAGGCAUGCUGGAGGUAUCAGAAGUGCGAAUGCUGACAUAAGUAACGAUAAAGCGGGUGAAAAGCCCGCUCGCCGGAAGACCAAGGGUUCCUGUCCAACGUUAAUCGGGGCAGGGUGAGUCGACCCCUAAGGCGAGGCCGAAAGGCGUAGUCGAUGGGAAACAGGUUAAUAUUCCUGUACUUGGUGUUACUGCGAAGGGGGGACGGAGAAGGCUAUGUUGGCCGGGCGACGGUUGUCCCGGUUUAAGCGUGUAGGCUGGUUUUCCAGGCAAAUCCGGAAAAUCAAGGCUGAGGCGUGAUGACGAGGCACUACGGUGCUGAAGCAACAAAUGCCCUGCUUCCAGGAAAAGCCUCUAAGCAUCAGGUAACAUCAAAUCGUACCCCAAACCGACACAGGUGGUCAGGUAGAGAAUACCAAGGCGCUUGAGAGAACUCGGGUGAAGGAACUAGGCAAAAUGGUGCCGUAACUUCGGGAGAAGGCACGCUGAUAUGUAGGUGAAGCGACUUGCUCGUGGAGCUGAAAUCAGUCGAAGAUACCAGCUGGCUGCAACUGUUUAUUAAAAACACAGCACUGUGCAAACACGAAAGUGGACGUAUACGGUGUGACGCCUGCCCGGUGCCGGAAGGUUAAUUGAUGGGGUUAGCGGUAACGCGAAGCUCUUGAUCGAAGCCCCGGUAAACGGCGGCCGUAACUAUAACGGUCCUAAGGUAGCGAAAUUCCUUGUCGGGUAAGUUCCGACCUGCACGAAUGGCGUAAUGAUGGCCAGGCUGUCUCCACCCGAGACUCAGUGAAAUUGAACUCGCUGUGAAGAUGCAGUGUACCCGCGGCAAGACGGAAAGACCCCGUGAACCUUUACUAUAGCUUGACACUGAACAUUGAGCCUUGAUGUGUAGGAUAGGUGGGAGGCUUUGAAGUGUGGACGCCAGUCUGCAUGGAGCCGGCCUUGAAAUACCACCCUUUAAUGUUUGAUGUUCUAACGUUGGCCCCUGAUCGGGGUUGCGGACAGUGUCUGGUGGGUAGUUUGACUGGGGCGGUCUCCUCCUAAAGAGUAACGGAGGAGCACGAAGGUUGGCUAAUCCUGGUCGGACAUCAGGAGGUUAGUGCAAUGGCAUAAGCCAGCUUGACUGCGAGCGUGACGGCGCGAGCAGGUGCGAAAGCAGGUCAUAGUGAUCCGGUGGUUCUGAAUGGAAGGGCCAUCGCUCAACGGAUAAAAGGUACUCCGGGGAUAACAGGCUGAUACCGCCCAAGAGUUCAUAUCGACGGCGGUGUUUGGCACCUCGAUGUCGGCUCAUCACAUCCUGGGGCUGAAGUAGGUCCCAAGGGUAUGGCUGUUCGCCAUUUAAAGUGGUACGCGAGCUGGGUUUAGAACGUCGUGAGACAGUUCGGUCCCUAUCUGCCGUGGGCGCUGGAGAACUGAGGGGGGCUGCUCCUAGUACGAGAGGACCGGAGUGGACGCAUCACUGGUGUUCGGGUUGUCAUGCCAAUGGCACUGCCCGGUAGCUAAAUGCGGAAGAGAUAAGUGCUGAAAGCAUCUAAGCACGAAACUUGCCCCGAGAUGAGUUCU
This 2775-nucleotide ribosomal RNA is filed under the name Escherichia coli. Its description in RNAcentral is "bacterial LSU rRNA". It matches the Rfam family "Bacterial large subunit ribosomal RNA". Lineage: Bacteria; Pseudomonadati; Pseudomonadota; Gammaproteobacteria; Enterobacterales; Enterobacteriaceae. The record is from RNAcentral.